GUCAUCCUGUGAAAUCCUCUGGUCUAAUACAUCUGGGAAGGCUGUAAACACACAGGAGAAAGUCUGAGGAGUCUGCUAACUGUUCAAGUAAUUAUUUAUCACCGAUGGUGUCUUCAGCACCAAUCCCAGCACAGCCAUUAUGGAGCGUCCAGGAACAAAGGAAUUGCACAGAUUUUCUUUAGAAGAUGAAGAGAUUCUGGGAAAAUUAAUUGCCUGCUUCUGCAUUUGUUCAGUCUUCUCUUAUGGCUGGACUCUGUGAUGGCUGGAGAGAUACUGAAAGGAUGAUGUCAGACGAAUGGGAAAUGAAAGCUGAAGGACCAGGUGGAUCUCCAGAGCUCCAUAAAGGGGGAUCCCAUUCGAGAGAGUUGCUGCCAGAGAUUUACAAGGUGCAAGGGGAGUGAUGUGUUGUCUGUUAGAGACAGAAGGCAAGAGGAUAAUUAUAGUAUUGUCAUUUUUUAUUGCCACUAAAAGUGUGGGUUUAGUCUUCAAGGAGAUGGUAUUUCCUUGAAUCUGUCUUUUAUGCUCUGUCUUUUAAUUCUUUGUGAAAUAGAUAAAUUUUAUUACACUUUUCUCUUGGGCUGAAAUCACAGAGGAUGAGAAAAGCGAGAAGCUGAGUUCUAGAGUCUAACCAUCCCCCUUCAGUAUUGGACUACUCCUUGGUAAAAGGGAAGAAGAUGGGCACUCUUUCUCAAGUGUAGCCAACCUCACCAGGACAAUGGCAUGAUAUCUUCAUAGGUAAACUUGGGAAGUGGAGACUAGAUGAG
This 764-nucleotide long non-coding RNA is filed under the name Taeniopygia guttata (zebra finch). RNAcentral's name for it is "lncRNA (ENSTGUG00000026876.1)". Lineage: Eukaryota; Metazoa; Chordata; Aves; Passeriformes; Estrildidae. The record is from RNAcentral.